This 465-nucleotide ribosomal RNA is filed under the name uncultured bacterium. RNAcentral's name for it is "partial 16S ribosomal RNA". It matches the Rfam family "Bacterial small subunit ribosomal RNA", at positions 338 to 795 of the family's 1533-position model. The record is from RNAcentral.
CCUACGGGAGGCAGCAGUAGGGAAUCUUCCACAAUGGGCGAAAGCCUGAUGGAGCAACGCCGCGUGGGUGAAGAAGGUCUUCGGAUCGUAAAACCCUGUUGUUAGAGAAGAAAGUGCGUGAGAGUAACUGUUCACGUUUCGACGGUAUCUAACCAGAAAGCCACGGCUAACUACGUGCCAGCAGCCGCGGGAAUACGUAGGUGGCAUGCGUUAUCCGGAUUUAUUGGGCGUAAAGGGAACGCAGGCGGUCUUUUAAGUCUGAUGUGAAAGCCUUCGGCUUAACCGGAGUAGUGCAUUGGAAACUGGGAGACUUGAGUGCAGAAGAGGAGGGUGGAACUCGAUGUGUAGCGGUGAAAUGCGUAGAUAUAUGGAAGAACACCAGUGGCGAAAGCGGCUCUCUAGUCUGUAACUGACGCUGAGGUUCGAAAGCGUGGGUAGCAAACGGGAUUAGAUACCCGGGUAGUC